Molecule: ribosomal RNA, 253 nt
Filed under: uncultured bacterium
Lineage: Bacteria
Description: partial 16S ribosomal RNA
Rfam family: Bacterial small subunit ribosomal RNA
Source: RNAcentral
UACAGAGGGUGCAAGCGUUGUUCGGAAUUAUUGGGCGUAAAGAGUGUGUAGGUGGUGUCGUAAGUUUGGUGUGAAAUCUCCCGGCUUAACUGGGAGGGUGCGCCGAAGACUGCGAUGCUGGAGUAUGGGAGAGGAAAGCGGAAUUCCUGGUGUAGCGGUGAAAUGCGUAGAUAUCAGGAGGAACACCUGCGGUGUAGACGGCUUUCUGGACCAUUACUGACACUGAGACACGAAAGCGUGGGUAGCAAACAGG